AUCGCGUGAUGCAMCCGUAGGGAAUCCACCACAACCGAUACGAUCGUCGUUCGCACGUAGCGUCGAACGCGAGGGGCAAAUAGAGGCCGAGGCCUCGUGCCCACAACAUAUACCGCGUCCGAGAUUUCGAGCAUUACGCCUUGGUUGGGCUACUAGAACGCAUGCACACACGCCCUCGAGUGCCAGCCACGACGCAUGCUAUGAGUUCCAAUCCGCACCACGACACCAAUGGGCGACGCAUGGCAGAAUGAAAAUGGGAUUAUUUUGUCAUCGUCAUGCCUUAGAGAUAGGUAUCUAGCACAGGAGGCCGCAAUCGGACAAGGCAUGGGAGUUCCUGCGCCGAUGAUUGAAGAGGCUAGGU
Molecule: unclassified non-coding RNA, 361 nt
Filed under: Prostanthera centralis
Lineage: Eukaryota; Viridiplantae; Streptophyta; Magnoliopsida; Lamiales; Lamiaceae
Description: partial external transcribed spacer
Source: RNAcentral